RNAcentral lists this long non-coding RNA (207 nucleotides) under Elaeis guineensis (African oil palm). RNAcentral's name for it is "long non-coding RNA (EGUI_LNC049796)". The record is from RNAcentral. Lineage: Eukaryota; Viridiplantae; Streptophyta; Magnoliopsida; Arecales; Arecaceae.
AAUGCAUAUUCAGAUCCCAAUAUUGAGAUUUGAUACCUCGAGAUUCGAUCUAUACUGAGCCCACAACAAAGUCCAGGACAACAAAUGGAGUCCCAUGAAAAAAGAUGAAAAUACGCACGAAAAAAGGCUCGAAGCAAGUUGCAUGGCUCACAAGGUGGUGGAGGCUUGCGGCGGUGCAGUCGGGCCCGACGGAUGGGCGUGCGUAGG